UACGUAGGUGGCAAGCGUUGUCCGGAAUUAUUGGGCGUAAAGCGCGCGCAGGUGGUUCCUUAAGUCUGAUGUGAAAGCCCACGGCUCAACCGUGGAGGGUCAUUGGAAACUGGGGAACUUGAGUGCAGAAGAGGAAAGUGGAAUUCCAAGUGUAGCGGUGAAAUUCGUAGAUAUCGGGAGGAACACCGGUGGCGAAGGCGGCGAUCUGGGUCGAUACUGACGCUGAGGUGCGAAAGCGUGGGGAGCAAACAGG
RNAcentral lists this ribosomal RNA (253 nucleotides) under uncultured bacterium. RNAcentral describes it as "partial 16S ribosomal RNA". It matches the Rfam family "Bacterial small subunit ribosomal RNA", at positions 524 to 776 of the family's 1533-position model. The record is from RNAcentral.